Molecule: ribosomal RNA, 480 nt
Filed under: uncultured Actinomycetes bacterium
Lineage: Bacteria; Bacillati; Actinomycetota; Actinomycetes
Description: bacterial SSU rRNA
Rfam family: Bacterial small subunit ribosomal RNA
Source: RNAcentral
GAGGCAGCAGUGGGGAAUAUUGCACAAUGGGCGAAAGCCUGAUGCAGCAACGCCGCGUGAGGGACGACGGCCUUCGGGUUGUAAACCUCUUUUAGCAGGAAAGAAGCGAAAGUGACGGUACCUGCAGAAAAAGCGCCGGCUAACUACGUGCCAGCAGCCGCGGUAAUACGUAGGGCGCAAGCGUUAUCCGGAAUUAUUGGGCGUAAAGAGCUCGUAGGCGGUCUGUCGCGUCUGCUGUGAAAACCCGAGGCUCAACCUCGGGCCUGCAGUGGGUACGGGCAGACUAGAGUGCGGUAGGGGAGAUUGGAAUUCCUGGUGUAGCGGUGGAAUGCGCAGAUAUCAGGAGGAACACCGAUGGCGAAGGCAGAUCUCUGGGCCGUAACUGACGCUGAGGAGCGAAAGGGUGGGGAGCAAACAGGCUUAGAUACCCUGGUAGUCCACCCCGUAAACGUUGGGAACUAGUUGUGGGGUCCGUUCCAC